GGCUAAACUGAGGAAUGCUACCCAUGACCAUAAUGAUUUUAUGGGUCAACCUAUUUGGUUUAAUACACUUUUAAAAAUUGAUAAUAAAACUAUUUUUUAUGAAAAAUGGUGUGAGGCAGGAAUAUUUUUUGUCAAUGAUUUACUGAACGAGAACAAUGAAUUUCUGUCUUUUAAUCAAUUUAAAGAAACAUAUGAUAUUGAUACAAAUUUUCUUCAAUUCUAUGGUAUAUAUGGGUCGUUUUCAAAAAAUGUCGAAUUUUCAGUACACCCAUGCUAACUUUUUUAUUUCUAAUGGAAAUUUCAGUUGUAAUGGUUUAAAUGAAAGCUUGUCGGAUUUGUGAUUCAGAACAUUAAUAAUAAACACACCUUACAUCUAUUUUGAUAAGAUUAAACUGCAUUUAAGACCCAUUUUGGGGGUAUUUGUCUGCGUACAGUGUCAGAAAAACACAUUUCAAAUGAUUUUUUUGCGAUUUUCCGAUCGCCUUGAUAUCUGCAAAAGGGACUUUUUAAGAACGUUUAAUAUUACUCUAACGAGAAAUCGUAGCUUCUAUAUCAUUGUAUGUAACAUAUUAUCUACAAACUAAAUUGAAUCUGCGUACAGGAGGUUCAUGUCUUUCCUGUUACCGCUACUUAAAUCAGCCGUGAAAUUAUUCUCCCUAUGAAUAUUGAAUCAGUCAGUGUUGAUCUCAAAAGUGCAAAGUAAUCUUUACAUUUAAAACGCCUCGUUUCUUGAACGACAGUGUAGAGAAAAGAAAUUUCAAGACAUAUAGUGAAAAAAAAUAUAGCGUACUUUUUUUCAUGUCUAUGCUGUUACCACCAAUUUUGAUUAAAUACACCAACAGUAUACUUGUAAAAAGUGCAAUAACGUGUUGGAAACCAAAUUCACAAUAGAAAAACGUAAUCACUCCACCAAAGGGAGUAGUUAUUUCACAACAGCAAUCAAAAAACGAAGAAAUUUGUCUAUCCUGUUAUGUCUAUCCUGUUACUAUUGUUGCUAUGGUUACAGUAACAGGAUAGACAAUUGUAGACAAAAACGUCGUUAUUUUUUUUAUCUUAACAUAUAGGUGCAAAACGAAUGAAAUAUUUCGUUGUUUGAAGUCAUCUUAAGGUUAUAACGUAUUAAUCUUCCCAAUUAAGCAUUCGCAGGUGCAAUACUGAUAUCGGUAACAGGAUAGACA
This 1178-nucleotide long non-coding RNA is filed under the name Mytilus galloprovincialis (Mediterranean mussel). Lineage: Eukaryota; Metazoa; Mollusca; Bivalvia; Mytilida; Mytilidae. The record is from RNAcentral.